GCCUGAGUGGCUCAGUCGCUUGAGCGUCUGACUUCAACUCAGGUCACGAUCUCGCGGUUUGUGAGUCCAAGCCCCGCGUCGGGCU
Molecule: transfer RNA, 85 nt
Filed under: Felis catus (domestic cat)
Lineage: Eukaryota; Metazoa; Chordata; Mammalia; Carnivora; Felidae
Rfam family: tRNA
About the family: Transfer RNA (tRNA) molecules are approximately 80 nucleotides in length. Their secondary structure includes four short double-helical elements and three loops (D, anti-codon, and T loops).
Source: Rfam by way of RNAcentral